RNAcentral lists this ribosomal RNA (252 nucleotides) under uncultured bacterium. RNAcentral describes it as "partial 16S ribosomal RNA". It matches the Rfam family "Bacterial small subunit ribosomal RNA", at positions 524 to 776 of the family's 1533-position model. The record is from RNAcentral.
UACGAAGGGGGCUAGCGUUGUUCGGAAUUACUGGGCGUAAGCGCACGUAGGCGGCUUCUUAAGUCAGGGGUGAAAUCCUGGAGCUCAACUCCAGAACUGCCUUUGAUACUGAGGAGCUUGAGUCCGGGAGAGGUGAGUGGAACUGCGAGUGUAGAGGUGAAAUUCGUAGAUAUUCGCAAGAACACCAGUGGCGAAGGCGGCUCACUGGCCCGGUACUGACGCUGAGGUGCGAAAGCGUGGGGAGCAAACAGG